This is a long non-coding RNA of Cyprinus carpio carpio, 1409 nucleotides long. The record is from Ensembl. Lineage: Eukaryota; Metazoa; Chordata; Actinopteri; Cypriniformes; Cyprinidae.
AAAGGUUCAGUAGACUUUUUGCUCUAAAUGAAUGGUUAUUGUCAUGGUGUAAAGAACAGAAACUGCUCUUUGUUAAUAAUUGGAAUCUUUUCUGGGAGCGUCCUAGGCUUUUUCGCGCUGAUGGCCUGCACCCCAGCAGAGUUGGAGCAGAACUCCUGUCGGACAACAUCUCCAGGACUCUACGCUCCAUUUGACUAGAUUUACACAAGCUCCAGUCUGGAUCCAGAACACCUGAGAAGAGAUGAUGCCAACCCCUCAGAGGACCUCAGAUGAUGCUAACCCAGAGACAACAUACAGAACUACCACAUUUUGCUAUAAGUUUGAUUGCAUAAUUGCUGUUAAAAGUGUUAAUCGUCUGUUUGUUUACGUCUUUUAUUGAUUUUUCUGAACAUUUCUGCCAUAUGCACAUAAACUGACAGUCAUCACUGAUAAGCUACUACUAAAUAUUGUAGAAACUUAAUUUUCUGUAAAGUUGCUUUGCAAUGAUUUGUAUCGUAAAAAGCGCUAUACAAAUAAACUUGAAUUGAAAACUUGAAUUGAAUGCGCUCACCACACACCAGCUACAGGUGGAGAGGAGAGAGAGAUAGAGCCAAAUCUGUGGAUGGAAUUAUUUGGAGACUAUGACUGACAAGGGCCAGUGGAAAGAAUUUGGCCCGGACACCGGGAUACACCCCUACUCUUUAUAAAAAGUGCCAUGGGAUUUUUAAUGACCACAGAGAGUCAGGACCUCGGUUUAACAUCUCAUCCAAAGAAAGGUGCUUUUUACAGUAUAGUGUCCCCGUCACUAUACACUACUGGGGUGUUAGGACCCACACAGACCACAGGGUAAGCGCCCCCUGCUGGCCUCACUAACACCUCUUCUUGACUUUUCUGUGUUCAUGUUUCCCCUUCCCUUUGUAUUUUGGUAUUUCCUUUGUUGUCAUGGUUUCAUGUAAUGCCUUUUUUUACAGUGCAUUAAUAUACCCAUUUUCUUUUGUCUCCUUGAGUAUUUUGUGUUCUUAUUUGCCAGUGACUUUUGGUUUAUUCCAACACAUUUACAUUUAUGCACUUAGCAGACACUUUCAUCCAAAUUGACAUACAAAGACAAGUUCACAUUUUUGUUAUGAAGGUCAGGCUGUUUCCGGUUUAGUUUUUUUUUUUCUUCCCUGCUUUUCAUUUUUGGUUCCUUUAUGUCACUAUCACAAUUUCAGUACUCUGCAUUUGUGUUCUUUGCCAUAUCAUGCCUCAUGAGUUGUCUUUUAAAACAGUGAUUGAGUAAGAGAUGAAGUUUGAAAGUGGAAAAAAUAAUGAAGAACAAAGUCAAACUCUGCCAUUUAAUGGACACAGAAGAACUCAGCACAAGUCAGUCAUAUGCUUGCUUGUAUGUGUAGUUUCUUGUCUUCAUUCUUCAACUUUAGUCUUAAAAAAAG